GGGGGUGUAGCUCAGUGGUAAAGCACUUGCCUAGCACAUAUGAGACCUGAGUUCAAUCCUCAACACCAUGA
This 71-nucleotide transfer RNA is filed under the name Marmota monax (woodchuck). It matches the Rfam family "tRNA". From Rfam's summary of the family: Transfer RNA (tRNA) molecules are approximately 80 nucleotides in length. Their secondary structure includes four short double-helical elements and three loops (D, anti-codon, and T loops). Further hydrogen bonds mediate the characteristic L-shaped molecular structure. tRNAs have two regions of fundamental functional importance: the anti-codon, which is responsible for specific mRNA codon recognition, and the 3' end, to which the tRNAs corresponding amino acid is attached (by aminoacyl-tRNA synthetases). tRNAs cope with the degeneracy of the genetic code in two manners: having more than one tRNA (with a specific anti-codon) for a particular amino acid; and 'wobble' base-pairing, i.e. permitting non-standard base-pairing at the 3rd anti-codon position. Lineage: Eukaryota; Metazoa; Chordata; Mammalia; Rodentia; Sciuridae. The record is from Rfam by way of RNAcentral.